Molecule: ribosomal RNA, 461 nt
Filed under: uncultured bacterium
Lineage: Bacteria
Description: partial 16S ribosomal RNA
Rfam family: Bacterial small subunit ribosomal RNA
Source: RNAcentral
CCUACGGGUGGCAGCAGUGAGGAAUAUUGGUCAAUGGGCGGGCGCCUGAACCAGCCAAGUCGCGUGAGGGAAGACGGUCCUAUGGAUUGUAAACCUCUUUUGGCGGGGAGCAAUGCCGGGCACGUGUGCCCGGAGGGAGAGUACCCGCAGAAUAAGCAUCGGCUAACUCCGUGCCAGCAGCCGCGGUAAUACGGAGGAUGCGAGCGUUAUCCGGAUUUAUUGGGUUUAAAGGGUGCGUAGGUUGUUUUUUAAGUCAGCGGUGAAAGUUUGUGGCUCAACCAUAAAAUUGCCGUUGAAACUGGAGGGCUUGAGUGUGUUUGAGGUAGGCGGAAUGCGUGGUGUAGCGGUGAAAUGCAUAGAUAUCACGCAGAACUCCGAUUGCGAAGGCAGCUUACUGAGCCAUAACUGACGCUGAAGCACGAAAGCGUGGGGAUCGAACAGGAUUAGAUACCCGGGUAGUC